UACGUAGGCAGCAAGCGUUGUUCGGAUUUACUGGGCGUAAAGAGUGUGUAGGUGGUGCUCUAAGUUCGGUGUGAAAUCUCCUGGCUUAACCGGGAGGGUGCGCUAAAUACUGGAGUGCUCGAGGGUGGGAGAGGCAAGCGGAAUUCCUGGUGUAGCGGUGAAAUGCGUAGAUAUCAGGAGGAACACCUGUGGUGUAGACAGCUUGCUGGACCAUUUCUGACACUGAGACACGAAAGCGUGGGUAGCAAAC
This 250-nucleotide ribosomal RNA is filed under the name uncultured bacterium. RNAcentral describes it as "partial 16S ribosomal RNA". It matches the Rfam family "Bacterial small subunit ribosomal RNA", at positions 524 to 773 of the family's 1533-position model. The record is from RNAcentral.